This is an RNA transcript of Nymphaea colorata (pocket water lily), 1665 nucleotides long. It is a transcript of the gene named vesicle-associated protein 1-3-like, with no coding region annotated. NCBI's taxonomy places the organism in Eukaryota, Viridiplantae, Streptophyta, Magnoliopsida, Nymphaeales, Nymphaeaceae. The transcript has 9 exons. The record is from RefSeq and is a predicted model, not a curated record.
CCAGUGAACUGCCUAAAACACGAACGCUUCUUCGCCUUCCUGGGACUGUGGUCAGCUGGUGUUCGUCGCUUCUUGAGUGGUAAGGGGAAGAGAGAUCUGAUAUAGGUGCCCAUUCUAUAGAUAGACAGACAUCUACUGCGAAGCACCCCUAAAGUGGUAAAGCCUACAUCUAUCUGUCGCGAAGAUGAGCGCCGGGGAGCUUCUUGCUAUUGAACCUUCAGAACUCAUGUUCAAAUUCGAAUUGAAGAAACAGAGCUCUUGUCCGUUGCACUUUGGUCAACAAGACAGACCAUUCUGUAACUUUCAAGGUUAAAACAGCGAGUCCAAAGAAAUAUUGCGUGCGGCCAAAAUACAGGUGUCAUUAUGCCCAGGAACUCUUGCGAUGUUACUGGUAAAAACAGUUCCUAGUUGGCAUAACGUGAGGCACCACCUGGCUUGCGGUGCAAAGACAAGUUCCUUAUUCAGAGCAUGAUUUCAAAUCAUCUGGUGACUGCUAAGGACAUUAUUGCAGAAAUGUUCAAUAAAGAGGCGGGAAAAGUUGUUGACGAGUGCAAAAUGGACGUGGUAUAUCUUUAUCCGCCUCAACCUCCAUCGCCUGUUCCAGAAGAGUCAGAAGAAGGUUCCUCUCCACGGGCUUCUUCUCAGUUAGAUAAUGGAGGCUGCAGUUCCUCUACAUAUGAUUCUGUACCAAAAGCAUCGGAUGAGUCAAAAGAAAAACAUCGAGAGGCAUCUCUCAUUCUGGAGUCGGCUUUCAAUGAUUCCCUGACUCGUGAGCGAGACACCUGGUUGGACGUUGCACAAAGCCUUGCUCAAAAGGUCAGCUCUGGGGAUAUAGUAACUCGAGAUGAUCUCAGUAUGCUGCUAGACCUGUUGCACAAUCCGAGCAGUGAAUUAUAUCUGACAGCCUUGGAGGUCUGAAUGUCACAAGUGGCAGGAUUGAGGUUACCAAGCUAAAUUUGUCAAAUUUUCCCUAUGUUACGGGGAUUCUAUUAAAAGACCCUCUAUGCUCUUGACAUCGUUCACACUGUAUUGAAUAAGAUUUCAAUGUUGGCAAUGGAGAGAACAUCUGCCAGUGAACUAAACCAAAAACUGCGGCAAGAGCUGGAUUUGUUACGGGAGUAACACAGUGGUGGUCAGGAAAGCUUCUCGUUAUUGUUCAUUGUACUGGUUGGCGUCUUGGGCAUCCUGGUGGGGCACCUGGUGAAGACCUAGAAUUAUCUGGCUACAGUCCCACCGUUGCAGUUACGGCAUCUUUACCGUGGAUGUAUAUUGAAGCAAAGUGAACGAGAAGCUGCCAUAUGGGCCAUAUUCUCUUCCCGGUUCUGCUGUUUCACAUGUAUUCUGCUUUCAUCUUUAUGUUGUCCGUCAAUUAGUUGAACAAUUUACCAACUGACAGCACCUCACAAUGUAAAAAAAAGAAAAAGGAAAAAAAAAAAAAGAUCAACCAUUCCCUUAAAUUGCCUCAUGUUACGAGAAUUUACACGGAACUGGCAUUGGUUUUCACAAGGGUUAAACUAUAAGUUGAAGAAGCAGGUAGUUUCGGGAACCUAUUUAUGAUUGGUUUAUUGGUUUACCUUUGUAUACUACAUAAUUUUCAGCAUCAUUUCAUCCAUAUGGCAUGUGAUUUCAGCCUUGCACCCACGAAAUGGAAGUUGGCGGUUACUC